This is an unclassified non-coding RNA of Microcebus murinus (gray mouse lemur), 102 nucleotides long. It matches the Rfam family "Y RNA". From Rfam's summary of the family: Y RNAs are components of the Ro ribonucleoprotein particle (Ro RNP), in association with Ro60 and La proteins. Lineage: Eukaryota; Metazoa; Chordata; Mammalia; Primates; Cheirogaleidae. The record is from Ensembl.
GGCUGGUCCCAGCACAAUGGUGUUUACAACUAAUUGAUCACAACAAGUUACAGAUUCCUUUGUUUCUUCUCCACUCCCAGUGCUUCACUCGACUAGUCUUAA